Molecule: ribosomal RNA, 904 nt
Filed under: Scolecobasidium musae
Lineage: Eukaryota; Fungi; Ascomycota; Dothideomycetes; Venturiales; Sympoventuriaceae
Description: eukaryotic LSU rRNA
Rfam family: Eukaryotic large subunit ribosomal RNA
Source: RNAcentral
GAAACUAGCAUAUCAAUAAGCGGAGGAAAAGAAACCAACCGGGAUUGCCCUAGUAACGGCGAGUGAAGCGGCAACAGCUCAAAUUUGAAAUCUGGAGCCUUUGGCUUCCGAGUUGUAAUUUGCAGAGGGAGCCUCGGAGGGCGAGACGGUCCAAGUGCCUUGGAACAGGAUACCGCAGAGGGUGAGAGUCCCGUAUCCGGCCGAUCUUGCGCUCCGUGUGAGGCCCCUUCGACGAGUCGAGUUGUUUGGGAAUGCAGCUCCAAGCGGGUGGUAAAUUCCAUCUAAAGCUAAAUACUGGCCAGAGACCGAUAGCGAACAAGUAGAGUGAUCGAAAGAUGAAAAGCACUUUGAAAAGAGAGUCAAACAGUACGUGAAAUUGUUGAAAGGGAAGCGCAUGGGGGCAGACUUGGACGCGGGGUUCAGCGUUUCUAUUGGAGCGUGUACUUCCCCGCGUGCAGGCCAGCAUCGGUUCCGGGGGCCGGACAAAGACGUUGGGAAUGUGGCUCCCCUCGGGGAGUGUUAUAGCCCGGCGUGCAAUGCGGCCACCUGGGACCGAGGACCGCGCCUUGUGCAAGGAUGCUGGCGUAAUGGCCUCAUGCGGCCCGUCUUGAAACACGGACCAAGGAGUCUAACAUCUAUGCGAGUGUUUGGGUGGCAAGCCCGGACGCGCAAUGAAAGUGAACGGAGGUGGGAGUCUGUUACAGGACGCACCAUCGACCGAUCCGGACGUCUUCUGAAGGAUUUGAGUAAGAGCAUAGCUGUUGGGACCCGAAAGAUGGUGAACUAUGCGUGAAUAGGGUGAAGCCAGAGGAAACUCUGGUGGAGGCUCGCAGCGGUUCUGACGUGCAAAUCGAUCGUCAAAUUUGCGUAUAGGGGCGAAAGACUAAUCGAUGCAUCCUUCCGG